Non-coding RNA from Oryza glaberrima (African rice), 107 nucleotides. NCBI's taxonomy places the organism in Eukaryota, Viridiplantae, Streptophyta, Magnoliopsida, Poales, Poaceae. The record is from Rfam.
AUCCCAUGAUGAGGACAGGCGGCUACGUACUCUUGCAGUCGUUCCGAUGCUUCGGGAAUGGACUCGUCCUUUGUUUGCUGGAAACUUGAAAUUCGUCCACAAAGGGC